Molecule: ribosomal RNA, 245 nt
Filed under: uncultured Actinomycetales bacterium
Lineage: Bacteria; Bacillati; Actinomycetota; Actinomycetes; Actinomycetales
Description: partial 16S ribosomal RNA
Rfam family: Bacterial small subunit ribosomal RNA
Source: RNAcentral
UGCUCGAGUGGCUAACGGGUGAGUAACACGUGAGUAACCUGCCCUUGACUUUGGGAUAACUUCAGGAAACUGGGGCUAAUACCCGAUAGGAGCUCCUGCUGCAUGGUGGGGGUUGGAAAGUUUCGGCGGUUGGGGAUGGACUCGCGGCUUAUCAGCUUGUUGGUGGGGUAGUGGCUUACCAAGGCUUUGACGGGUAGCCGGCCUGAGAGGGUGACCGGCCACAUUGGGACUGAGAUACGGCCCAG